CACGUAGGGCGCAAGCGUUGUCCGGAAUUAUUGGGCGUAAAGAGCUCGUAGGCGGUCUGUUGCGUCCGCUGUGAAAACUCGGGGCUUAACCCCGAGCCUGCAGUGGAUACGGGCAGACUAGAGGUAGGUAGGGGAGAAUGGAAUUCCCGGUGUAGCGGUGGAAUGCGCAGAUAUCGGGAGGAACACCUGUGGCGAAAGCGGCUCACUGGACCACAACUGACGCUGAGGCGCGAAAGCUAGGGGAGCAAACAGG
This 253-nucleotide ribosomal RNA is filed under the name uncultured bacterium. RNAcentral describes it as "partial 16S ribosomal RNA". It matches the Rfam family "Bacterial small subunit ribosomal RNA", at positions 524 to 776 of the family's 1533-position model. The record is from RNAcentral.